This is a non-coding RNA of Megalopta genalis, 920 nucleotides long. The record is from RefSeq and is a predicted model, not a curated record. Lineage: Eukaryota; Metazoa; Arthropoda; Insecta; Hymenoptera; Halictidae.
UUGGUCAACUUCACUGCCCUCUACCCUUACUCUGCUGAAUUGCUCAUCCAUGACGUCACGGAUGUAGUCACGUGACAUUUAAGGGAAUGACCACGCUUAUCCACGGCUAAGUCCGUGGGAAUGUGAGAACACUAUAUGGGGAAUGCACUCCUAAACCAUAGACUUAGAGCAUAUACUAUAUAUCUGAAAGCAGCAUCUAUUACUGCUGAGCAUGAAACCACUUCGUAGAAAAAGACAGAUUCAAAUUCAGGUUUUGCACGAUUUUGCUACCUCCCUUAGCUUUUGCAAGCAUCCUCGCCAGUUUACUGUGCAUCCAAUCGGUCAGCUAAUCAGAGCAAAGCAAUUUCCAAUCGUAUCCUCGCUAUCGGAGCGCGUUGCGAUCGGAGAGUCUUGCAAAACUUGAAGUACAUAUUAUGUACUGUAUUCUCCAAUCUUCGAUGCACAUAUUGGCGCUCGUUGCUGCUCGUCGCCCACUAAACUAAUAGUAAGCAUCGCUAAAUAAUAUUUUGGUAAAAUUUCAAUGUCUGAUUCUGAUAGAAUGAUUAUUUAUUUUCGAAGUAAAUUCAGCAGGAAAAUAAAGAUUUCUGAUAAGGGAAGUUAGUUCGUGAUUUCUGACAGCGAUGAGAAUAUCAUUGAAAAUGUCGAAAAAACAAGUUUUCGUAAUCAAAAGCAGCGGUAGCUGAGAGAACUGUUUCAGGAGUUUAACUCCAGAGAAACAAAUUGCAGCAUUCAGAAAAUCUCUGUUGAUGGAAAAUGCCAUUGAGCAGAGUGUUAAAAAGCAUAUUUCUGAAUAUCCUGACAAUGUGGAGGAUAGUUGUGUACUUACAUAGCCUUAUUAAUUCAACUAGUUACAGUGAAAAAGAUAGCAGGUGUUGCAUACUUUAAAAUAUCAAAAAGAUACAGUAUGAAAACUAUUGUAA